RNAcentral lists this ribosomal RNA (396 nucleotides) under uncultured bacterium. RNAcentral describes it as "partial 16S ribosomal RNA". It matches the Rfam family "Bacterial small subunit ribosomal RNA", at positions 338 to 732 of the family's 1533-position model. The record is from RNAcentral.
CCUACGGGAGGCAGCAGUGAGGAAUAUUGGUCAAUGGGCGCGAGCCUGAACCAGCCAAGUAGCGUGAAGGAUGACUGCCCUACGGGUUGUAAACUUCUUUUAUCAGGGAAUAAAGUGAGGCACGUGUGCCGCCUCGUAUGUACCUUAUGAAUAAGGAUCGGCUAACACCGUGCCAGCAGCCGCGGUAAUACGGAGGAUCCGAGCUUUAUCCGGUUUUAUUUGGUUUAAAGUGUGCGCAGGCGGAACUGGAAGCCAGCGGUAAAAUGGCGGGGCUCAACCCCGUCGAGCCGGUGAAACUGGGGGGCUUGAGUGCGGGAGAGGGACGCGGAAUGCGAGGUGUAGCGGUGAAAUGCAUAGAUAUCGCGCAGAACCCCGAUUGCGAAGGCAGCGUGCCGG